UACGUAGGGUGCGAGCGUUGUCCGGAAUUAUUGGGCGUAAAGGGCUCGUAGGCGGUCUGUCGCGUCGGUAGUGAAAACUCAGGGCUUAACCCUGAGCCUGCUUCCGAUACGGGCAGACUAGAGGUAUGCAGGGGAGAAUGGAAUUCCUGGUGUAGCGGUGAAAUGCGCAGAUAUCAGGAGGAACACCGGUGGCGAAGGCGGUUCUCUGGGCAUUACCUGACGCUGAGGAGCGAAAGUGUGGGGAGCGAACAGG
This 253-nucleotide ribosomal RNA is filed under the name uncultured bacterium. RNAcentral's name for it is "partial 16S ribosomal RNA". It matches the Rfam family "Bacterial small subunit ribosomal RNA", at positions 524 to 776 of the family's 1533-position model. The record is from RNAcentral.